ACAUGGUGAGCUUGAUGCGUGUGGCCAUCAGAUCUGCCACCUCAAUUAAUGAGGGAGAUCUGAUGGCCCUCAUUUUUCCUAAUUAAUUGAUUUUCUGUUUUAAUAAUUUUAAUACCAUUUUCUUAUUAAAUUCAUUAUAAAUCCAAUUUUAAUCCAAAAAUUAUGAUACUUCCACCAAAAUUCCUUAAAUAAUUUCCUCUUCCCAUGUUUGAAUUAAA
This 218-nucleotide long non-coding RNA is filed under the name Lathyrus oleraceus (garden pea). RNAcentral's name for it is "Pisum sativum (pea) long non-coding RNA (PSAT_LNC039243)". Lineage: Eukaryota; Viridiplantae; Streptophyta; Magnoliopsida; Fabales; Fabaceae. The record is from RNAcentral.